GACGAACGCUGGCGGCGUGCUUAACACAUGCAAGUCGAACGCUGAAGCUUGGUGCUUGCACUGGGUGGAUGAGUGGCGCACGGGUGAGUAAUAAGUGAGUAACCUGCCCUUGACUCUGGGAUAAGCCUGGGAAACUGGGUCUAAUACUGGAUACGACAUGUCACCGCAUGGUGGUGUGUGGAAAGGGUUUUACUGGUUUUGGAUGGGCUCACGGCCUAUCAGCUUGUUGGUGGGGUAAUGGCUCACCAAGGCGACGACGGGUAGCCGGCCUGAGAGGGUGACCGGCCACAAUGGGACUGAGAGACGGACCAGACUCCUACGGGAGGCAGCAGUGGGGAAUAUUGCACAAUGGGCGGAAGCCUGAUGCAGCGACGCCGCGUGAGGGAUGACGGCCUUCGGGUUGUAAACCUCUUUCAGCAAGGAAGAAGCGAAAGUGACGGUACGUGCAGAAGAAGCGCCGGCUAACUACGUG
This 472-nucleotide ribosomal RNA is filed under the name uncultured bacterium. RNAcentral describes it as "partial 16S ribosomal RNA". It matches the Rfam family "Bacterial small subunit ribosomal RNA", at positions 28 to 507 of the family's 1533-position model. The record is from RNAcentral.